GAUGAAGAACGUAGUGAAAUGCGAUACUUGGUGUGAAUUGCAGAAUCCCGUGAACCAUCGAGUCUUUGAACGCAAGUUGCGCCCGAAGCCAUUUGGUUGAGGGCACGUCUGCCUAGGCGUCACAUAUCGUUGCCCGAUGCCUAUUGCACUGUGAUAGGAAAUUCUAGGGCGAAAGAUGGCUUCCCGUGAGCGUUGUUGCCUCGCGGUUGGUUGAAAAUUGAGUCCUUGGUAAGGUGUGCCAUGAUAGAUGGUGGUCGAGUUUGCACGAGACCGAUCAUGUGUGCGCUCCCCAAAAUAUGGACUCUUUGACCCCACACGCGUCUUUUGACGCUCAUGACGAGACCUCAGGUCAGGCGGGGCUACCCGCUGAGUUUAAGCAUAUCAAUAAGCGGAGGA
Molecule: unclassified non-coding RNA, 396 nt
Filed under: soil metagenome
Description: partial contains 5.8S ribosomal RNA, internal transcribed spacer 2, and large subunit ribosomal RNA
Rfam family: 5.8S ribosomal RNA (bases 1-122)
Source: RNAcentral